GCAGAAGCAGCAGCAGUUGUGCGGUGUAACUCAACUACAAGCAAUGACGGUGCAAACAGAAAGAAGCCCAAAGCAAACCACCACACCGAGAUUUCAGGGGGCGUGGCCUAAUCGUCAACACGGCACCAACAUCGAAGCAACCCAACACGAAGAGAGGUUGAAAGCAUAACAGGGGUACACUCUUCGAUGCUGGUGGCGCAGCAGCAUGCCAUGGAAUGUUGGAUGUCGGUCGAUGUUUCGCAGUUUGUCGGUGGCCUUUUCGGAAGACAUGGCAUGCUGAGAGUUGAAUAAGUUGGAAGUGAUUCUGUCAAAGCAUCACGAUCCCUUCCAGAGCGGAAACCAUCCACCCGGAACAUGGUCGCGUGCCGUCAGAAAGCAUUUCUCAUGUUUUGCCAACACGCAGCCGCCUUCCGGCGCACGUUCGCCAUUAUAUCCGUGGAUAAUUUCUCCAUAAAGUUGGCCACAAACUAACUGACUGACGUCGGAUGCACGAAAGAUUAAUGGUCAAUUCAUGAAGAUGGAAUUAACUUCCCUGGAUGUUUAUUGCAUGAGAGAUUAGUUUAAAAAAGGAGAAGAUAAAACACUUUGAACAAUUUGCUGUGAAAAAGGUCCAGAACUUUUCAAGGCUACCUUGAUGCAAUGCAGACAACAGAAGAAUUGUUCAAUAAAACAUCCAAAUAUAACAUAAUUAGCUCAUAAUUGAUACCAGCCAGAUGGCCUACUCCACACUCGAUCAAUUUAUUUAUCAACAAAGAUAAUCCAAUUUAUUCUAAUGCCUCUCCUAAUGCACCACCAUUCGUCGACACGUCUUAAGUGCUCUUUUCGCCCCUCGACUGAAGUAGAAAAAUUGUCACACAAAAAGCCAGAAAAAACACUCUCGCAGCUUCCUCCCCCUUGGUGAAUUAUUCUGAUUUCAUUUUGAUACACUUGUUCCCGGGCCGUAUUAUCAUCAUCAUAACAAUAUGGGCCAGGGAGAAGAACAGUAUCGUUUUACCCUAACCCUAGCAGGGAACAAGCAAGUACAAGCAAAAAUAGGGGAGACAUUCUGAAGUCACUUCAAGUCAACCGACAACCCCUUGAAAUAGAUGUUAUCAAUCUUGUUUUCCCCUGGGGUGGAGGAAAAAAAGGAACGCAUCACAGCUAAAAGGCCAACUAUCUGCACCCUGAGGAAAGAGGUUCUGGUGUCAGGAGAGCGCAACUGGCAGGAUUAUGUCUGGCUUGUGCCGUGAAUUAAGCAAUUAUGAAGCGUGAUUGUGGGUGGUUUUUUAGCUCUGAUGAAUUAUGGGUAGAUUGGCCCCGGCUUUGAUAACUUUUGCGGUGUGGUGAUGAUCUGCUGCGGCGACUAAAUGGGAUUAUGGUGGGUUAUGGGGUUAGUUGAUUUAAGGUUUGAUGAAAUUUA
This is a long non-coding RNA of Culex pipiens pallens (northern house mosquito), 1399 nucleotides long. RefSeq lists it as uncharacterized. NCBI's taxonomy places the organism in Eukaryota, Metazoa, Arthropoda, Insecta, Diptera, Culicidae. The transcript has 3 exons. The record is from RefSeq and is a predicted model, not a curated record.